CCGACAUUCGCUGUUCCAGAUUGUCGGGUUUGGUGAUUGAUCAAAGUUUGGUAGAGUGGGUUCUUCUUGAUAUCGUUAACUCUUCUAGAUUAUCAGAUAAAAAAGAGGGAGAAGAGAACUGGGGAAGAAGGAAAAGAAGAAGAAGAAGAGAGAGAUAAGAAGUGAAUUCCAGACAAAAAGAAGUUCCCUGAUCAUUCCAGAUUUCUCAAACAGUACCCAAAAGGGAUUGGCUGUAGGAUUACAAUUUUACCCUAGAGUCAUCGAUAUAUAAGCAACAUGUCCACUACUUUCUGGUUUCGGGAAGCCUCCAUCAACAUCACCCUUCUCUUCACCAAUAUCGGGAUUACCUAUCAACAUGAGCACCGAUCAAGGCUCGUGAAAUUUGCAGGAUAUUGAUCAUUGUGUGAAGCAGAAGACAAGUGCUUUAGCUUUGAAUACCUUUGAGGUUGCUCAGGUUUUGCUUAUCACUGGUGGAGAUCAAUUUCUCUGUUGACAGUCAGUGCUUUUUUUUACAAUCAGAACAUCCAUGGUUACAAAAUACAAAAAAGCUCCAAAUUUUCCAUUAGGAGAUAUUGCAAAGCCCAGGCUCAAGCAGUUUUCAGUAGUAAGCAGUUCUCAGUAAUAAAUAAAUUUAUGGAAUUGCAGAACACUUUUGUUAACGAAGUAGAAGUAAUCAGGGACAUGUUCACAUUGAUGGACGCUGAUAAAGAUGGCAAAGUAACUUAUGAGGAAUUGAAGACUGGUCUUCAAAAGGUUGGUUUGCAGUUGGCUGAACCAGAGGUUAAGAUGCUGAUGGAAGUGAUAAGGCUGAUGUUGAUGGGAAUGAAUUUCUGGAUUAUGCAGAGUUCGCAACAGUUACAAUU
This is an RNA transcript of Rosa rugosa (rugosa rose), 863 nucleotides long. RefSeq lists it as uncharacterized. The record is from RefSeq and is a predicted model, not a curated record. The transcript is spliced from 7 exons. NCBI's taxonomy places the organism in Eukaryota, Viridiplantae, Streptophyta, Magnoliopsida, Rosales, Rosaceae.